Non-coding RNA from Xylaria cubensis, 112 nucleotides. Lineage: Eukaryota; Fungi; Ascomycota; Sordariomycetes; Xylariales; Xylariaceae. The record is from the annotation of a GenBank genome assembly.
GGCCAGGUGGCGGAGUGGUUAACGCGGUAGACUCGAAACUUCCUGUCAACUUGACAGGAAUUCGUGCCAUCUACUUCCUUCGGGAGCGUCUGUUCGAAUCAGGCCCUGGUCG